UCCAUCUCUCUGUCUAUCUGCAUGUAGACACACACAUUCUGUAUCUGAGUUGUACAUGUAUGAGCUUUGGAAAAUAGUACAUUCCAUAAGAUUUCUAAAGAAUUGUUAAUAGAGUUAGCUUUAGAGAAUAGAAUCAGGAAUGGUAGCAGGCUUUGAUACUGUUUAUUUCCUCCUGUGAACAUGUGUUAUUUUUAUAAUCCAAAAGAAACAAAAGAGGAGUGAAAGAUGGACCUGUCUUUGUGCUUGCUGCAGAGCGCUUGACUCGUCCUGAGUACACAGCCUGCAGUUUCUCACUUGCUGCCAGAUUUCCUGCCCUCCUGGUCUCCUGGGCUCUUGCUUGUCAAUACAAAAAUUUCCUCUCUGGUGGGACUGUAGACCCAAUGGAGGGUGAGGUGAGGAUGAAGAUCAGGUGAGGGUUGAAGGAUAGGGUUACUGCCUGUCCUCCCACCCCACCCCAAAUCCCUCCCAUUACCUGCCCUGCCCUCCAAGAGGGCCUACCAAAAGUAACUAGCUCCUCCAAUGACCUGGCUCUGCAAAAGCCACAUAAAAGCCAGACCCUUGAGGCGGCCUGCCGCCCUUUUGCCCCCAAAGAUGUGUCCCUCUGGGGCUGAAUAAAGCAUCGCUGGUCCAUGAGGUCUCCCUGUCUCCCUUUUUCUUUUGCUUUUUGUAUUCUGUGCUUUCAAGGGUGAAGGGGCCAGC
This 699-nucleotide long non-coding RNA is filed under the name Marmota monax (woodchuck). The record is from RNAcentral. Lineage: Eukaryota; Metazoa; Chordata; Mammalia; Rodentia; Sciuridae.